Molecule: ribosomal RNA, 305 nt
Filed under: uncultured bacterium
Lineage: Bacteria
Description: bacterial SSU rRNA
Rfam family: Bacterial small subunit ribosomal RNA
Source: RNAcentral
UCAGGCCUACGGGGCGCAGCAGUGGGGAAUAUUGGGCAAUGGGCGCAAGCCUGACCCAGCAACGCCGCGUGAAGGAAGAAGGCUUUCGGGUUGUAAACUUCUUUUCUCAGGGACGAAGAAAGUGACGGUACCUGAGGAAUAAGCCACGGCUAACUACGUGCCAGCAGCCGCGGUAAUACGUAGGUGGCAAGCGUUAUCCGGAUUUACUGGGUGUAAAGGGAGCGUAGACGGCUGCGCAAGUCAGAAGUGAAAGCCCGGGGCUCAACCGCGGGACUGCUUUUGAAACUGUGUAGCUAGAGUGCAGG